RNAcentral lists this ribosomal RNA (370 nucleotides) under uncultured organism. RNAcentral describes it as "bacterial SSU rRNA". It matches the Rfam family "Bacterial small subunit ribosomal RNA", at positions 526 to 896 of the family's 1533-position model. The record is from RNAcentral.
CGUAGGGUGCAAGCGUUAAUCGGAAUUACUGGGCGUAAAGCGUGCGCAGGCGGCUUUGCAAGACAGAUGUGAAAUCCCCGGGCUUAACCUGGGAACUGCAUUUGUGACUGCAAGGCUAGAGUACGGUAGAGGGGGAUGGAAUUCCGCGUGUAGCAGUGAAAUGCGUAGAUAUGCGGAGGAACACCGAUGGCGAAGGCAAUCCCCUGGACCUGUACUGACGCUUAUGCACGAAAGCGUGGGGAGCAAACAGGAUUAGAUACCCUGGUAGUCCACGCCCUAAACGAUGUCAACUGGUUGUUGGACGGCUUGCUGUUCAGUAACGAAGCUAACGCGUGAAGUUGACCGCCUGGGGAGUACGGCCGCAAGGUUG